RNAcentral lists this ribosomal RNA (593 nucleotides) under uncultured bacterium. RNAcentral describes it as "bacterial SSU rRNA". It matches the Rfam family "Bacterial small subunit ribosomal RNA", at positions 338 to 948 of the family's 1533-position model. The record is from RNAcentral.
CCUACGGGAGGCAGCAGUGGGGAAUCUUGCGCAAUGGGCGAAAGCCUGACGCAGCCAUGCCGCGUGAAUGAUGAAGGUCUUAGGAUUGUAAAAUUCUUUCAGUAGGGACGAUAAUGACGGUACCUACAGAAGAAGCCCCGGCUAACUUCGUGCCAGCAGCCGCGGUAAUACGAAGGGGGCUAGCGUUGCUCGGAAUUACUGGGCGUAAAGGGAGCGUAGGCGGACAUUUAAGUCAGGGGUGAAAUCCCAGAGCUCAACUCUGGAACUGCCUUUGAUACUGGGUGUCUUGAGUGUGAGAGAGGUAUGUGGAACUCCGAGUGUAGAGGUGAAAUUCGUAGAUAUUCGGAAGAACACCAGUGGCGAAGGCGACAUACUGGCUCAUUACUGACGCUGAGGCUCGAAAGCGUGGGGAGCAAACAGGAUUAGAUACCCUGGUAGUCCACGCCGUAAACGAUGAUUGCUAGUUGUCGGGAUGUUUACAUCUCGGUGACGCAGCUAACGCAUUAAGCAAUCCGCCUGGGGAGUACGGUCGCAAGAUUAAAACUCAAAGGAAUUGACGGCUGAGACGNGCGAGACGACGACGAGGGAGGAGG